GGCGCACGGGUGCGUAACGCGUAUGCAACCUACCUUAAUCUGGGGGAUAGCCCGGAGAAAUCCGGAUUAACACCGCAUAAAAACACAGGAUAGCAUUAUCCAAUGUUCAAAUAUUUAUAGGAUUGAGAUGGGCAUGCGUGUCAUUAGCUAGUUGGCGGGGUAACGGCCCACCAAGGCGACGAUGACUAGGGGAUCUGAGAGGAUGACCCCCCACACUGGUACUGAGACACGGACCAGACUCCUACGGGAGGCAGCAGUAAGGAAUAUUGGUCAAUGGAGGCAACUCUGAACCAGCCAUGCCGCGUGCAGGAAGACUGCCCUAUGGGUUGUAAACUGCUUUUAUCCGGGAAUAAACCUCUUUACGUGUAGAGAGCUGAAAUGUACCGGAAGUAAUAAGGAUCGGCUAACUCCGUGC
RNAcentral lists this ribosomal RNA (415 nucleotides) under Pedobacter sp. R10.3. RNAcentral's name for it is "bacterial SSU rRNA". It matches the Rfam family "Bacterial small subunit ribosomal RNA", at positions 97 to 508 of the family's 1533-position model. The record is from RNAcentral. Lineage: Bacteria; Pseudomonadati; Bacteroidota; Sphingobacteriia; Sphingobacteriales; Sphingobacteriaceae.